CCUACGUGAGGCUGCAGUGAGGAAUAUUGGUCAAUGGACGCAAGUCUGAACCAGCCAUGCCGCGUGCAGGAAGACGGCUCUAUGAGUUGUAAACUGCUUUUGUACGAGGGUAAACGCAGAUACGCGUAUCUGUCUGAAAGUAUCGUACGAAUAAGGAUCGGCUAACUCCGUGCCAGCAGCCGCGGUAAUACGGAGGAUUCAAGCGUUAUCCGGAUUUAUUGGGUUUAAAGGGUGCGUAGGCGGUCGGAUAAGUUAGCGGUGAAAUCCCGAGGCUCAACUUCGGAAUUGCCUCUGAUACUGGUCGGCGAGAGAGUAGUGGCGGUAGGCGGAAUGUAUGGUGUAGCGGUAAAAUGCUUAGAGAUCAUACAGAACACCGAUUGCGAAGGCAGCUUACGAAGCUACUUCUGACGUCGAGGCACGAAAGCGUGGGGAGCAAACAGGAUUAGAUACCCGGGUAGUC
Molecule: ribosomal RNA, 460 nt
Filed under: uncultured bacterium
Lineage: Bacteria
Description: partial 16S ribosomal RNA
Rfam family: Bacterial small subunit ribosomal RNA
Source: RNAcentral